RNAcentral lists this long non-coding RNA (204 nucleotides) under Musa acuminata (dwarf banana). Its description in RNAcentral is "long non-coding RNA (MACU_LNC003382)". The record is from RNAcentral. Lineage: Eukaryota; Viridiplantae; Streptophyta; Magnoliopsida; Zingiberales; Musaceae.
UUUUUUUUGGAUUUUCGAAUAAGGAUAACUAAAUUGCAGUAGCAGUAAGGUAGGAAACCAGAACCUGUUGCAAUUCACGGGGAGAUCAAAGGAUUAUCCGCGGUGGUGGAGAUGAUGGCGGAAUUCGGCGACGACCUUUUAAGCAAUUGUGGGAAUUGCUUUGGGUGGUUGUGGAGGGCUGAUGGAUGGCAGUGGAAGGGCAAC